AAUUGAAAAGUCUCUAGGGUCUUUGUUUUUCCUAUUUUCUUUGUCAAAAGUGUAUAGGGUCUUUUAAAACAUUUGAGGUUUUACAAGUCUUACGUGUUUCAUUAUGUAAUAGCACUAACCAUUUAUAUAUACAUUUUUGCAGUCACUUUGUGAAAUAAAUCCUGGAGUUGAGAUUUAUUUACAGUCGCUACCACUGGCAUUUAAUAAUUGUUUUUGAUAAUUAGAAAGAAAAUCUUCUAAUUAAAUAUUUGACAUUUAACAAUCUUCCCAAAAUCUUUCUACCUUAACUACACAAUUAAUUACUAAAAUAAAACUUCCAAAAUAUUUAAUAUCAUUUAAUUACUACAAAAUUAUCAUUUUUGAUAUUGCUUUUCGACAUGAUUAUAAUCAUCAAGCCGCAUAGAUAUUUGAUAGCAUUUAAUUACUACAAAAUUACAAAAUAUUUAGACAAUAAUUCAUAAACAUAUCAUAAAUAAGAUCAACAUUAAUAAAAUAAAUGAGUUUUUUUUACAGGACGAGUUGGCGGGACGGGUUUGGCAGGACGUUACUUAAUAACAAUUGUAAACUAUAAAAUAAAACAUUUUAUAGAUAGAUACAAUUUGCAAACUUUUAUAAUAUUU
Molecule: small RNA, 620 nt
Filed under: Arabidopsis thaliana (thale cress)
Lineage: Eukaryota; Viridiplantae; Streptophyta; Magnoliopsida; Brassicales; Brassicaceae
Description: ATSL118040
Source: RNAcentral